Molecule: ribosomal RNA, 227 nt
Filed under: uncultured bacterium
Lineage: Bacteria
Description: partial 16S ribosomal RNA
Rfam family: Bacterial small subunit ribosomal RNA
Source: RNAcentral
AUACGUAGGUGGCAAGCGUUGUCCGGAUUUACUGGGCGUAAAGGGAGCGUAGGUGGAUAUUUAAGUGGGAUGUGAAAUACUCGGGCUUAACCUGAGUGCUGCAUUCCAAACUGGAUAUCUAGAGUGCAGGAGAGGAAAGUAGAAUUCCUAGUGUAGCGGUGAAAUGCGUAGAGAUUAGGAAGAAUACCAGUGGCGAAGGCGUACUUUCUGGGCUGCAACUGACGCUG